GUAGCUUCUAGCCUUCCACCAGAUUCCCGCCAAACUAACAUUACGGAAACUCUAAAAUGUUUUAUGGUCUUAGCAUGCAUGUAAGACUGAAUGUUGUCCUGAUUAUACUGAUGUUUAGUUAUAAUAAUUAUGAUUAUUAUUGGUAUUGUUGGUGUUGUUGCUAGUGCGCGUGCUGAUGCUUGUAUAGUUGCCUUGUUCAACUUUUGUACUUAUUUAAUUAGAUGAUCUGGAAAAUACUACAGACUUAGAGGAAAUUAGCCUCGCUGAAAUAAGCAUUCUAUUUGUUCUGUUUCACUUAAAAGCAGUUGCUUCAUGCUUAGUUACAUCUCUGUGUGAGAUAUUUUAUGUGGUCAUUAGUGACAUUCAAUUCCUAGUCCUAAUAAGGGACUGUUUCUUACUUCUUUCUCAACUCGUUCAUGCAACAAAUCUUGAUCAGCUCUUUACUUAGUUGAAAAAUGAUAAUGUUUGUCAGUUUAAUUCAUGAGUUGUUGAUCUUUUGUCUCAACCAGGGAAGGAUUCAGCUCCAUAUUUGAAAACAUUGUACGUCAAGUAAGCUGUAAUUUUGAAAAUAGUAGGAACAGUGAUUCCAGAAAUAAUCAGACUCAUGCAAAUCCUUCAAAGGAAGUCCAGAAUGAAAAUGGUGAACAAAUGCAGUCUAGGGAGCUGGAGAGCAAUGUUCAUCAGUUGACUAAUUGCUGUAAGAAUUCUGGCCAGAGUACGAAUAAACAAGCGUCUCUAACCAAGGAAGGGAUCGAGUGGAAGCUGAGGGUUAGUUCUAAUAAAAAGCAGUUUUGAAGAUGCAGAAAAAAAAAGUUUUGACGUCGCUUAUGUGAGUUACUUCUUCGUAAAGUCCUAUUUAUGCUCUUGGAUAUGUACGUUUUAAUCGAUUGUCUGUCAUGUGGAAGUGAUGCUUUUCCACUGACAUUUAAUUGCAAUUGAAAGCUGACAAAAUCAUAGAGAAGUCACAAUUUAUUUUGUUUUCACCUGUGUGUUUGUUAUUUCUGGAUUCUAUCUUUGUGAUCUCCAAAACAUUUUAUUAAUUGGCUUAGCUUUGGGUUUAGAGUGAAGGUUAUUUAUGAUUAUAGAUAGCUUCUAUGUCAUAAUCUUCAUUGGACAUAGAUGGCUUACCAGAUGAUCUGUCGUAUCCUAAAUAAUCAUAUCACGUGAUAUUGACAUGAAGGCAAAUUCUGAGCUGAAUAAAGAGGUAUAUAAGCUGACCCAAAUCCGUAGCACUAUAUGAGAGUAGACAAGCGUGAAUAUCCCUAAUAGGGGCCUCCAACAGGUGCCCAGUGAAAGUCAUAGACUUCCCCAACGACAUCCUUUUUAAAAGAAGAAGGGCAAAGCAUGGAAGAUGAAGUGACUAGAUGUAGCUUGUUGGUCACUUGUUGCUAAAACGGAAACGAUCAUGUCCAGUAUGCUUGUUCUUGUUAGGGAUUGUUUGAAGUUUACAUUUGUACAUGCUACAAUAGAGUUAGG
This is a long non-coding RNA of Lycium barbarum (goji berry), 1476 nucleotides long. RefSeq lists it as uncharacterized. The transcript is spliced from 3 exons. NCBI's taxonomy places the organism in Eukaryota, Viridiplantae, Streptophyta, Magnoliopsida, Solanales, Solanaceae. The record is from RefSeq and is a predicted model, not a curated record.